RNAcentral lists this transfer RNA (66 nucleotides) under Suhpalacsa longialata. RNAcentral describes it as "tRNA-Phe". It matches the Rfam family "tRNA". From Rfam's summary of the family: Transfer RNA (tRNA) molecules are approximately 80 nucleotides in length. Their secondary structure includes four short double-helical elements and three loops (D, anti-codon, and T loops). RNAcentral also lists the same sequence under 1 other name. The record is from RNAcentral. Lineage: Eukaryota; Metazoa; Arthropoda; Insecta; Neuroptera; Myrmeleontidae.
AUUUAAAUAGCUUAAUUGGAGAGUAUAACAUUGAAGAUGUUAGGGUAGUAAUUUUACUUUUAAAUA